Rhincodon typus (whale shark) is the source of this 1155-nucleotide long non-coding RNA. RefSeq lists it as uncharacterized. The record is from RefSeq and is a predicted model, not a curated record. NCBI's taxonomy places the organism in Eukaryota, Metazoa, Chordata, Chondrichthyes, Orectolobiformes, Rhincodontidae. The transcript has 3 exons.
UCAAAGCUAGGAUUCCUCUCCAUUGGUUUAGUAGGGAAGUGUUGAAAGUGAGGGGUCCUCCUGAGUUUCUAGUUCUGGUACACAUUUAAAUGUAUAUGUUUAUCCCAUCUAUGACUAUUGGUUAGCAUGUAGCUUCCUGUACCUUAAUUUCACUGGAGUGAAUAUUUAGCUAUUAAGUUUUGAUAAUGAUUACAUAAUGUAAUUCAAAUUUGCUUCAUUUCUUAUUCUGCCAUACUAUUUUUACAGAAAAUGUGCCCUAAGUGGUCAAACUAAAACGUGUAAACAUCGAAUAAAACUGGGAGAUUCCAGUAGCUAUUACUAUGUUUCGCCAUUUUGUAGAUACAGGAUUAUGUCUGUAUGCAACUUCUUCACUUAUAUUCGGUAUAUUCAGCAGGGUCUGGUUAAACAGCAAGAUGUUGAACAAAUGUUUUGGGAAGUGAUGCAUCUGAGGAAGGAAAUGUCACUAGCCAAACUGGGAUUUUACAAGGAGGAGCUCUGAAAUCCAGCUGUUGGAACAAAUGCAUGAGCUUUACUCCGUGAUCAACAAUGAUGUGGUUCCUAAGACUUAUUGUCCAAAUAUUUAUUUCUAUAGUGGGCCUACCAUCUCUGAUUUUGUUUUUUUAGCAGUUAUGCUUAAGUACAACAAAGGUAGUUAAUUUCAACAAAUGACAAUGGACUAGAAAAUAUUUUUUCUGUUAUUAGCAUUUAGUUUUGGGCAUUUGAAGGACUAGAGAGUAUUUGCGACUGUAUCAGUGGCAUUGCAUAGAAAGUAAAUCAUGUGUGAUGAAAGCAGCUGAAGCAAAUGUUGACCUCUUAUCUGUCCUGCAACACGGUUGCAAGAGAACUGAAUGCUUUGUGUAUUGGCUUUCUAUUUUCAUAAGGAAUAUUUUAAAAUAAUUUGGCAGGAUGUGUGGCUUUCAUUCGCUGCAAAACAAUCAAGCUUUCCGUAUUUUCAUUCAAUUUCAGUUAAUAAUGGUUGAGUUAUUGAUUUCACAUUGUGCACUUUAAAUACAGUGUAUAUUCUGAAUACAACACUUUGUAAUGCAAAUUUAAGACAAAUUAAGACAUGAAACUGACUAAUAUGAAAUGCAUUAAUGAUACUGUAACAAUCUUAAAAUGCACUAAAUGAAAAUAAAUAUGUUUGGUAAAUGUUAA